UUCCUAUCAAACACAUCCCUUGUCUCUCCUUUUUUCCGUCAUUUUUGUCUUCUCCGAUAAACUCACGAUGCUGGAGCGGUCUCUCCAUUUUUUCGUUGCUCCAUCAAAUAAUAGUCACCAGUCAUUUUUCCCCUUUUUACACAAUCAUCGUCAGAGCUUCGACUCCAACAACUACCACAUCCCCGCGCGGAAUUAUAGUGGAGCAGCCAGAUCUGGUUGGACUUGUCCAAAUGAUCAAAAUUAUUGAAUUUUGAUGGAAUUGUUUGAUGAUGGAGGAGAAACGGAGUGGAUAGUGAAACUGUUGGUUGCUUCGGCAACGUAAGUUUACCGUAGAAGAUGGGGAUUGUUUGAUUGGCUAUUGUUUGGUGACUGAUUCACCGGAUGAAGUUAAUUGCGAAGGUAAUACUCUGUUCAAACAAAUGAAGGUUGAGUGAUGGUGGUGGUGGAGAUCUGGUUAGAGUUUGGUGGUGAUACCAAAGCUCUUGCCGAAGAAAAUGAGAAAAGGGAAGUAAUGGUAUGUUAGUGGUGCUGGUGAAGUUCUGGCCGAAAUUUGGUUGUGGUGACGAAAAAGAGUGGUAUGCGGUGGUGGCAGCAUUGUGAUAUAUAUUAAAAUUGAAUUAAAAG
Molecule: long non-coding RNA, 624 nt
Filed under: Capsicum annuum
Lineage: Eukaryota; Viridiplantae; Streptophyta; Magnoliopsida; Solanales; Solanaceae
Description: long non-coding RNA (CANN_LNC007997)
Source: RNAcentral